CGUGCCUCAGGGUUCCGUGACGGGUGGACCGGGCGUGAUCGUAGGCCGUCAGCGGGUGGUUUCGUCUGCAUUGGAGUGCGUCCUCUUGGCAUCAGGGGAGUCCGUACCUGCCUGUCGGCGUCUUCGGCCACGGGGCUGGUUCAUGCGCCUCCCUGGAGUUCUUCACAACAUCUGAUCUACCUGGACGUCGAGCACCCGUGCAGCCUGCCUCUGUGUUCAUGAUGGUUAGUGUUAAACCUAAAUAAUUUUUGUGGUUAUUAGGGAAUAAUCCCCGCUCCUUUCUAGAUGUACAGUUGCACACUUCCAGCAACCGUCACGUCGGUUCCUGGAAUGGCAUCUCUAUGGACCAUCGUGUCCCUCCGAGGCAACUGUUCCCAUUGUAUAUAAGUGCUCAUUCAUCGUCAAUAAAGUGUGGUUCGAGUCAUUUGUUCCUUUGUCUCUCUCGAUACAAUUCUAUUCAUCACACAUUAUCAGCACGCUCCCGACUGAGCGAUUCCAGCGUGGAGAGCCCUUCCCCGGCGGCGGCGGCCAAGGCCACGGCUCUCAUCCGACCCUCUGCAGCGACUCCCUCCGCCAACGGCGGCGCCCAUAUCGACGGUCUUCGUCAGCACGGUCGUCUAUGACGACAACGCUCUCGGGCGUGGCGGCACCGGAGCGGCCAAGGACAAGGCCAUCCAACCUUCCAGCGCGGGCGGACCAUGAGCGGCCGUGGUGGCUGUAGCGGCGACGCCCUCGGGCGUGGAAAACGGCGGCCCUCACCCCGGCAGAAGAGCUUCCAUGCGGCAACCUCGCCUCGUGAAUGAAGAACAGGGCAUUGGCGUCCAUCUAUCUGGAAAGAUCGAGAGGAAAAUCAAGGGAUCAAGGAAUUAAUCGGAGUCAUACCUUGAUUUCAUUGCUACAAGGUGCUUCUUUCCGAUUUAUUAACGCAUAUACUAAUUGCUAUCUGAAAUUAGUACCUGUAGCCCUCGUCAUUGCAGCGCACGCAUCGGCUGCCCUCAGCCAUGCGACAACACAGAGGCAUCGAGCCCUUGACGCACCAGCGGCCGGCGUCGGCGAAGACGACUAGCGCAGGGCCGCGCCUCACGCCCUCGUCGCCACGCGGUCGUCCGCGCUGCUGGACUCGCGCCCUCCGCGCCGCCGUGGCAACAAGCGGCAAUGACCUCCGGCCGGCAAGCUUAUCUCAAGUGGCCGCGACGGCGUUGGUGGUUUGCUACGAAUCAAUCGAUUGGGUUUUAACCACACGAACAGAUAGAGAGAUAGUGAAUCUUAUCCUUUUGUGACACUUCAAUUUAGUCUUCCAACUUUAUUGUAUGUCCGGAUAAGCCCUUGCAUUUCUUCCGUUGGGACCUCUGGCUUGACGUGUCUUGCGGAUUAGUCCAUAGAUUAUUCUGUACGAUGCAAAUCAGCCUACGGCUUACUGUAAGUUGCAGUUUAGGCUUUCUCUCUACUGCAAAUUUUACUUUGAAAGAUCUCAUAUCUCUUUAUAUCACAUUUACAAUAUGUAAAUGAUGAUUUCAGAUAUACUUUGUGAAAAUGGGACAUGUUCAAUGUAUUUGCUCUCUAGCAAUUCCUAUAACAUGUUAUGCAUUGCCAUUGAGAUUACGUUUUCUCGCACAACAAUAUUGAUUUGCGAUUGAGGAAAAAAUCUCACAAAAUAAUUGAAGUUGAGAUCGAUUUUCUCUCGCAAAAUAUUAGUUCACUUCACUAAAUUAUCUUGCAAUUUGAUACAAGAUCUCAUUUAAUUUGAGAUCUAUACAAUUCAAGUUUUUCACUUGAGCAUCAAGUUUGCAACAUCAUUAGUGUUCAUUGCAAUAGUAGUGUAUAUCUAUUGAGUAUCGAGAUGUAUUCAGAUCUUAAGUUGAUGUAACAUAUUUUCACGUUUAUCACGUGUUGAGAUUGAUUAUGUCCAUUUACAAUUGAGAUUUAUUAAUCUCUUACAAAGUUAAAUUCAGUACCUCUACAAUACUGUUUCUCCAUUGAGUACAAGGUAUUCCGGAAUAUUUUCAUGAUGUGUCUAUUCCAUGUUCCCACAUGUCGAGGUUAAUACGUCUAUUUGCAAUUGAGAUUUCCAAUUUCUCGCAAACACGGAUGCAAAAUUCAAGGUGAUUUCUUCAAAUUGAUGCUUGAGAUCACAAGGUAGUCAUAUGGAUCUACUGCCUACACAUAUUAUCGAUGACUAUUGAUAAAGCCUAUAUUUUGUCGUUUAGACAUUAUGAUUGCUUUACAAAGUGCUCUCCCACACAUUUUACUAAGUCAUGACAUAAGACAUCAGGAGUAAGUAUCUACUGAUUUCAUCAGAUUAUACUCUCUAUGCUGCGGAUCUAAUCUAUUUUGGAGAUUAUCUUCAUGGUGUCAUACUUAGCAAUUUGAGAUUCACACUAAUGGGUACAAGCCAACUUCUUGAAAUACCCAUUGAUUUUGCUAAGUUCAUCACAACAUCAACCAUGAUGGUCUUUAGUUUACUGGUUGUAAAUUAAUUAUCUCUGGUUUACCCAUAGAGGUAACAUAUGACUAUAGAGUUUAAGGCAUUCGCCCUCAAUGGCCACCACUGCCCUAUCUGGGCCAUGGACAUCAUGAUCGCUCUUGUGUCUCGUGGGAUAGUGUGUGCAAUCCUGGAUUCAUCUCUAGUCAGGAUCACACCGCUAACAGAAAAAUGGUGUCUUAUAUAUCAUAAGGCAUUAGAUUCAGAUCUCAGCAUCUGGUUAUUCAGUAUCAGCAAUUCAUGGGAUACAAUGAACCUCAAGGGCAAAGGUUUGAAUCUUACUUCAACCUUAAAUCCGACAUCACUAGCUGUGACGGAACCCUAUGGGCAUGGAGAAUGUGAUGGUUGAAUAUGCCUCAACCGAUAGUUUUGGAGACUAUGAAUAGUCUUUCAAUCUCCUGAGUGGUCAAUAUAAUUAAUGUCCAUUUACGAUGUUGUGACAACAACAUAAGUAUUGUUGUCAACAUAUAUUAUAUAUCACAAUAUAUUAUAUCAACACUUUGGUACAAAUACAUUUGUAUGUAUUAUAUAUAUCUGACGGUGAUUUUCAUAUUGAGAAUCUUCAUGUCUAUAUAUAGAUUUCUACGAGGGUCAAUCCGAUGAAAAAUGAUAUGUGCCUUGUGGACAUAUGCACCACAAACUCUAUACUCAGGGAAGUCCAAUGUUUCCACUCUCAUUGAGAGCAAGGAGAUAUUUUAAAAUCGCUAGACGCGAUGAGGUAUUUGUUGGCUCAACUCGAGUCAUAUUUACUAUCCCUGUGGAUACUCGAGUAACGUUAGGAUGCUUUAUUGCUUCCCAGGUUUAACUCGUACCCUACUAAACUAUGGAGGUAUCCAUCAAAGUAGUUUCCAUAGUGAAACUUAUGAUGACAACAAAGAGAAAUAACUUCUCUUUACCAUAUGCAACGAAUAUGGCAAGCACAUUCUUUGUGUAUCAUCUGGAUUGUACUACACAUACGACACAACCCGUACCACAUGUUGCGUACGAGAUAGUUUUCCAGAGUGUCUUGUACAUGACAAACUUGACAUGCUUGCUUUGGUCAUCGAGACAUUGGGUUGAAACCAAAACUAUCAGCAAUUCCAAUAGUUUAUGACUAUUAUGAUGCUAAAUUCUAACAACAUUUGGAUUUUAUGUGCACUAUAAGUGACACAGGGAAGCUAAUUUUAAGGCUCGCACACCUUAAAGUCUACGCUGAACCACUCAGACUCCUUGAAUGCAUCAAGUUGAGGUAAGUGGCUCUUCCCAUCCAUUGACUAGACUAUUCAAGUAUUCCAUGGUUCUAAGGGCCAGUUCUUUUGGGUGGCUUAAAAAAUAAACUGCCUCUCCCCAACUUAAAAAAUAAGUUGCCUCUUAAGUAUGUGCUUUAUUCACACAAAACCAUUGGCUCAUUAUCUUGACAUCGAUUUCAAGAAAAUUGAAUGGAUAACAUUGCAGAAUUCUCCUUGAGUGCCUUCUCUACGGCCCUUGGAUUGAAGUUUAGCAAUUUGUCCUAAUAUCUAGACUCAAAAUGCUUUGGUAGAAUCCUAUCCAAAGAGUUAAGCUCAUUGCAUUAUCUUUACUUUGAAAUUGCAACUUACCAACUUUACGUUGGAGCAUGCAGUUUUACAUGCUCAUGACAGAACCGCAUAAUAUCAUUCCCCUCUCUCUUUGAUAUGUCGAUAUCUACCAAGUAUUUCCUAUCUGCGGUAAUUCGGUUGCAUACCGUUAUCACUACUCGACAUACAUCAUUGGCCCCUCAACAUAUAGUUGGGAUCUAUGUGAGGAAUAACUGUAUUUCUGUCAAUACCUCGAGCCCCUCGCAUGGGGAGUUAUUCAAGGCCAGUAUGCCGAUUCAUGAGGAAUAUUUCCAGGCAUUAGGGGGAGAUUUCAAGUACCAUAAAGAAUCCCGGGAAAUUAGUGGAAUGUUCAACACAUUUCUGCCUCAAUUCCAUGUACUCAAAGAUCUUAACCAUGCGUUCAGAAGAUUUGCAACACAUUGCAAAUAACCUGUCAGAUUCAUUUACUGACUAUAAAGGUGCCACGUCUAUCCUACAAUCCUGUAAAAACAAGUCAGAAAGAGUGGAGGUACCAACUAAAACCACUCAACUCCCCGUUCAAAGCAACAUGGGGAGAAGUAUGGCAAAGGUACAUCAGGAUUCAACUUCUUGCAAGCAAGGGUAUCAAGGCCUCUGAAUCAGUAAAUGCAAGUCAACUUUACGUUGACAGACACCUAAUGGAUAGUAUACACCCAGUGGAUGGAAAACCUCCACCAACCAAGGUCAUAGUGAACACAAUGACCGGGACAUUGGAAUACCCAACUCAAUCGCAUUGGGAAAUCGCGGGCAGUCACCAUGGGUAACGAUAUUUCCAUCAACUGUAUAUAUACAUAUAUAGAUUCUGGAGAACGAUAUGACCAAAAGUCUACAAAUGUCGACAUAUAUUUCUCAACUAGAUUGCCAAAUCCUUUCAAAUGAAUUCAGAUCCAAAUACCAUUACCAUGGCAAAGUGUGAACAACACUCAGACUGAACUCAAGCAAAGGGUAUAAUCUAGGUAGAAAUAAUCAUGCUCGAUAAUGGGAAGGUAUUCAUAAGCAAUAUCUACACCAGUUUUCUUCUGGAAAUAGAAUUGAGAACAACGAGGUGGUGAAACAAAGAGCAAGUAUUGUAGCACAAGGGUUCACGCAGAUACCCAACUAUUCUCCAGAGGUGGAAUCUUUCAGAUAACUUUAUCAUUGGCAGUACAAAAUCAUCUAUCUCUGUAGUUGAUAGAUGUAGUGAUUACAUAUCCAUGUGGAUCACUAGAUUCAGACAUAUAUGAUUGAUUCCCGAUGGAAUCUCAAUUCUAAAUCGAAAUACAAAAUGCAACAUACAUUGUGUAAAAUCAGUAAGUCACCAUACGACUUAUUGUUGUCGGUACAUUUGGUACAACCGACGUAGUGAGUUCCUUAUUCACAAGAAUUACUCCUACAAUGAUGAUUAUCCAUGUUUGUGUGUCUGCAAUGACGACACUUCAUCUAAAUGACAGAGUUUAAAAUGAAGGAUUUGUGUAAACCAAAAUACCGCUCGUUACAACAAAUUGAGCACCUUCAUUCAUACAUUAUGGUAUACUAUGUUGUCUAUAUCCACAAUAUAUUGGAGAAAUUCAUUGUGGGCAAAUCUUAUCCAUCCAUAACUCUCAUGGUAGUUCAUUCUCUAAACGUAGAGAAAGAUCUAUUUAGACCAAGAGAUGAUGAAAGUGAGAUAUUGAGACUCAACGUUCCAUAAUGCCAUUGGAUUCACUAAGCACAAUUGGUUGGUACUCAAGAAUAUCUUUCGAUAUCUCCAAGGCAUCAAACAUCUUGUCCUAGUUUUUCGGCUUCACAUAAAUGUGAACACCAAUAUCAUUGGAUACAUCGAUUAGAUCCCCACUAUGUCAGAUUGUAGACAAGAUUAGUGUUCCUACUAGGUGUGGUAGGCCUCUCAUGAAGAGUCUUCGAAACAGUCCUCAUGGCUACAUCGACCAACCAUUAUCUCAACGAUAAUGUUUCUUAUGUUGCCUGGAUGCAAACUGGUUACAUAAUAAGCAAUAUCACUAUAUUGCAUAUCUUGCAAGUCAAAUCAUGCAACUGAUUUGUUCACCAAGUCUCUACCAACUUCUAUGUUCCAGAAAUGUGUUCAUGGAAUUGGUAUAUGACGAAUUCGGAAUAUGCAAGAAUCAGGGGGAGUAUCUUCCUGUUUUUAAUGAGUAGUAUCAACAUGAGAUCAUAUGUCAUACUUCCUGUUUUCCCCACCGUUUUUUAGGAAAGUAUAUACGACAUAUUUAUUAUCCUCCAAAUUUUGUGGAUAAAAUCGAGUUAUGGAGGCAAUAAUCAUUAUAUGUUGGAUCAUUUUCUCUUUAUUUUCCCACUGGAUUUGAAGGAGUUUUACCAGCAUAUACUACACUACUCCUCAUAUUUUUCCCACAGGGUUUUUGGAGGAGACUUUAUCUGAUGAUGGACCACUAUGCAAUAAAGCGGUGAUUACAGGGAGUGUUACAACCAAAUAAUUCUUGCAGUUAUUAGGGAAUAAUCCCAGCUCCUUCCUAGAUGUGCGGUCGCACACUUCCAGCAACCGUCACGGCGGUUCCUGGAAUGGCAUCUCUACGGACCAUCAUGUCCCUCCGAGGCAACUGUUCCCAUUGUAUAUAAGUGCUCAUUCAUCAUCAAUAAAGCGUGGUUCGAAUCAUUUGUUCCCUUAUCUCUCUCGAUACAAUUCUGUUCAUCACAGAUAGACCACAGACGCGACCUGGGGCCACCGUCAUAAAGUGGCUUUCUGCGCGCCAACGCGCGCACUUUCGCGCGAUGUGCCGGUAGCGACGGGCUAGCCAGGUAUGCUUGCCAGCGUCUUCAGACCCUGUCAGGCUGGUUCGUGUGCCAGCUGGGCAUGCAUCGCGCUCGGGUGCGGUGAUGUCUUCUAGAACUAUGUCGGUGUUUCCCCAAAGAGGAAGGGAUGAUGCAGUAUAGCAAUGGUAGGUAUUUCCCUCAGUGAUGAAACCAAGGUUAUCAAACCAGUAGGAGAACCUUCUCAAACCACGUAAACAUCACCUACACACAAAUAACAAAUACUCGCAACCCGACGUGUUAAAGGGGUCGUCAAUCCCUUUCGGGUACGACACCUCAAGAUAGGCAAAUAACGUGAGAUAAAAGUGGUAGAUAGGAUAAAUAGAUCGCAAAACAAAUAAAUUGCAGCAAGGUAUUUUUGUAUUUUUGGUUUAAUAGAUCCGAAAAUAUAUGCAAAGGAAAAUAGAUCGCAAAGACAAAUAUGAUGAAAAGAGACCCCGGGGCCGUAGGUUUCACUAGUGGCUUCUCUCGAGAAAAAUAGCAAACGGUGGGAAAACAAUUACUGUUAGGCAAUUGAUAAGACUUCAAAUAAUCAUGAUGAUAUCCAAGCAUUGAUCAUUAUAUAGGCAUCAUGUCCAAGAUUAGUAGACCGACUCCUGCCUGCAUAUAGUACUAUUACUCCACACAUCGACCGCUAUCCAACAUGCAUCUAGUGUAUUAAGUUCAUGGAAAAAUGGAGCAAUGCAAUAAGAAUGAUGAUAUAAUGUAGACAAGAUCUAUUUAUGUAGAAAUAGACCCCAUACCAGAUCCGACCUUGUUAUCCUUAAUGGCAAUGAUACAUACGUGUCAGUUCCCCUUCUGUCACUGGGAUCAAGCACCGUAAGAUCGAACCCAUCACAAAGCACCUCUUCCCAUUGCGAGAUAAAUAGAUCAAGUUGGCCAAACAAAACCCAAGUAUUGGAGAAGAAAUACGAGGCUAUAAGCAAUCAUGCAUAUAAGAGAUCAAACAAGACUCAAAUAACUUUCAUGGAUAAAAACAUAGAUCUGAUCAUAGACUCAAAGUUCAUCGGAUCCCAACAAACACACCGCAAAAGGGCUUACAUCAUAUGGAUCUCCAAGAGACCAUUGUAUUGAUAAUCAAGAGAGAUAGAGGGAGAGGAAGCCAUCUAGCUACUAACUACGGACCCAUAGGUCUACAAAGAACUACCCACGCAUCAUCGGAGAGGCACCAAUGGAAGUGGUGAACCCCUCCGUGAUGGUGUCUAGAUUGGAUAUGGUGGUUCUGGACUCUGCGGCGGCUGGUGAUGAAGUCAUGUACCUGGGGUAGGGUCAUGGACCUGUCCAAGGUACCCUCCCCGAGGACAUCUUUAGAAGAAGCCGUCUUCCAGUCGACCUAGAGGGACUCCACUCGACGGACUGGAAGACACUCGACGAACUUGAAUACACUCGACCAUGAAGACUCACUCGACCACCAGGAGUUCAAGAUCUACUCUGUAUCCAAACGGUCUGUAAUUAAGUAGUCUUUAUGGUCAUGAUGACACUUUAUGUAAGGCGUUACCAGUAACGCCAGGCCUUAAUGUACUUUAAACCCUCCGCUACGUGGGCUAGCUGGGGUCUUGGCAUCCUCUAUAUAAGCCACCCCCUCCACUGGCAGAAGGGUUCGCACCCGUGUAACUCUCACGCAUAUAAUCCAGUCGACCGCCUCCGGGUACCGAGACGUAGGGCUGUUACUUCCUCCGAGAAGGACCUGAACUCGUAAAACACUUGCGUGAACAACUACUCCAUAGCUAGGAUCUUGCCUCUCCUUUAGUACCACCUACACUACUGUCAGACUUAGAACCACAAUAGUUGGCGCCCACCGUGGGGCAGGUGUCUUAGCGAUUUAUUGGAGAAGUUGCAGUUUUUCCGAUCGCCUUUGUCAUGGUUUCAGGCGGAGUUUUGGUCGAGGGCCGCUAGAUCCGUCUCGGCGCGCUCACGUUCAUCGCCGACGACUCUGCCUGGCUUUAGGAGGCUCCGCUCUACAUCGACGCGCUCCCAGUACGUGGAGCGACACACUUUCGCACGUGCGUCCGCUGUGUCCUCCUGCGGCAACCGUCGACCCAGUAUCGACCGGUUUUUGUGUCAUCCUUCCUCCCAGCUUCCCACCAACGCAAGCGCUCUGGUCGGUCGAGGCUUCAGCGGUGGGUGAGGCACGCGGUGGCUCGCCAGUCGACCACUGCCCAAGUCGCGGCAAUCGAGCCCGACGAAUCUCUCUACGGCCUGUUCGACUGGCUCCGCAGAGACUGCAUCCGAGUGCGACAACAGUGAUCCAGCGGUGGAGGUCCUGAUGGUUAAUGGACCAUACGCCCCACCGGCUUUUCUGGCGCCGAGGGAGGUAAUGGCUGAGGCGAUCCGUCGCAUCCCCAUGAGGAAUACCUUCUCGAGCCCCUCAAUUCGCUGCAGAGGGAAGAACUUCGCCGCCGGAACAUGGAUGCCCUUCAUACUCCUAUCAUUGGAGAAACCCCUGAGGCUCGCGCCUUGGAGGAUGCGCGCUUGGCCAACCUGGCUGAGCGCACUCGACUGGAGAACCUUCAGCGAGCACUCAACGAGCGUGCGCGACAACGAGUCCCUGACUCCAGUCGACGUCAGCUCUUCCCACCUCCGACUCAGGUAUACCGAACUCCGAUUCAGAAUUUGGCAGUUGCAGCCCAUAUAGCAGAGUCAAUUCAGCCUUCCCAGUCAGAGGCUGGCAGAGACUUGAUGCAGAUCAGAUAUUUGCUCCGGGCAGCAGGAGAUCAGAAUUCAGCUGUAUGGCAGUCGCGGAACAGGAUUCACAGCAGAUCCGUGGCAGCGAAUACGGUCCAGUCGGCUCAUAGCCCUAGAUUGCCCCCGAGGCGUGAAGGGCGUGGUGACCGGCACGAUCAAUACAGGAACCAUGAGCAGUAUGAUCACCGAUUAGAUCGCAACGAUUGACGUCGAGCGCCCACUCCUCCUCCAAGGGGUGGAUCCUAUGUGCCUCGACAGCAGGAUGAUAAGCGCCAGCACAGUGGCGGACGAAGAAUCCCAGUCGACCCCAGGGAACCGGGCUUUGAUGCGAGAUCCAUCAUCGUUCAAGGUCUGGUCGACCGGAACAGAGCUCACAGAGAGGGCAAUGACAGAGAUGUGCCCACUAGCAGCAGAGUGCAUGUCUCUGGACCAGAGUGUUUCAGCAGAGCCAUCCGAGCCGCAGUGAUUCCUCCCAACUUCAGGUUGGCGACUGGAGUCAGCAAGUUCAACGGUGAGUCUAAGCCCGAUACUUGGCUUGAAGACUACUGAGUGGGUGUCCAGAUCGGCGGCGGAAAUGACGAGGUGGCCAUGAAACAUCUGCCUCUUAUGUUGGAAGGGUCAGCCAGGGCAUGGCUGAAUCAGUUGACACCCAGCAGCAUUUACACAUGGGAGGACCUCUCCCGAGUGUUUGUCAGAACGUUCGAAGGAACGUGCAAGCGACCAGCAGGACUGACAGAGUUGCAAUCUUGUGUGCAGAAGUCGAAUGAGACUCUGAUAGAUUACAUCCAGAGAUGGAUCAGGUUGCAUCACACAGUGGAGAAUGUAUCUGAUCACCAGGCAGUCUACGCCUUCAAGGAAGGCGUAAAGUACAGAGAGCUAAGCCUGAAUUUUGGUCGAACCGGAGACAUGUCUCUGAGUCGAAUGAUGGAGAUAGCCACCAAAUAUGCCAAUGGUGAGGAAGAGGAUCGGCUCCGGAGCGGCAAGCACAAGUCAGUCGCCCAGGAAACCGGAGGAGGGAACUCCAGUCGGAAGCAAAAGUGGAAAGCCGAGCCAGCUGCUCCUGGAGAAACCUUGGCCGUGACUCAAGGAAAGUUCAAAGGAAAGCCCAAAGGACCUUGGAACCCCAAGAAAGUGAAGGGUAAAGAGGGAAAUGACAUGAUGGAUUUGCCGUGUCACAUCCACACGAAGAAAGAUGAAGAGGGUAAUUUCAUUUACCCGAAGCAUACCACUCGAUAGUGUCGACUUCUGAUACAGCAGUUCCAGGGGAAACAACCCAAGGAUAAGGAAAAGGAGUCAGACAAAGCUGAGGACAAGGGAGAUAGUGACGAGGAAUACCCUCAGGUCAAUUCUACUCUGGUGAUCUUUGCUGACGCUGAGAGCAAAAGUCGACUGAAAGUUAUAAACCGAGAGGUGAAUACGGUUGCUCCAGCAACACCCAAUUAUCUGAAGUGGUCUCAGACAGCCAUCACAUUCGACCAGUCUGAUCACCCGACGCACAUAGCCACCCCUAGGAGGCAAGCUCUGGUGGUCGACCCAGUCAUUGAGGGCACUCGACUGACUAAAGUGUUGAUGGAUGGUGGCAGUAGUUUGAAUAUACUGUACGCUGAGACGCUGAAACGGAUGGGCAUUCCGAUGUCCAGACUCAGCACAAGCAACAUGAGUUUCUAUGGAGUCAUUCCUGGCAAGAAGGCCGCAUCACUCGGCCAGAUUGCUCUCGAUGUGGUUUUUGGUGAUUCCAAGAACUUCCGCAAAGAAAAGCUGACAUUUGAGGUUGUAGACUUCCAGAGUGCCUACCACGCUAUUUUGGGCAGGCCAGCUUAUGCACGUUUUAUGGCUCGACCAUGUUACGUGUACCUCAAAUUGAAGAUGCCUGGCCCUAAGGGCGUCAUCACUAUUACUGGUAAUCACAAGAAGGCAGAAGAGUGCUUCCAGAAAGGCUCAAAGAUCCCCAAUGCUCAGAUGGUGGCAGAAGAGUGGCAGGAACACCAGAGAAAUGCGGAUCCGAGUGAUUUGUUGCGAGCCAAGAAGCCCGCUACGGAAUCAACAUUUCAGUCGUCCGGUGAGACAAAACUAGUUCACAUCCACCCGACCGACCCCAACGCUGCUCCGACUCACAUCUCCACAACACUCGACCCCAAAUAGGAAGAAGCGCUCAUCCUAUUUGGGGUCUGCCGUCCAGAAAAGGAAGGCUAUUGGCAAAGAGGUGGCUCGGCUCUUAGCAGCAGAGUUUAUCCGAGAGAUUUACCACUCCGAGUGGCUCGCCAAUGUUGUCAUGGUCCCCAAAAAGGAUAACUCACUUCGCAUGUGCAUUGAAUUUAAACAUAUCAAUUGGGCCUGCCCGAAAGAUCAUUUUCCUCUUCCCUGCAUCGAUCAAAUAGUUGACUCGACUGCGGGAUGUGAGAGACUGUCUUUCUUAGACGCCUAUUACGGAUACCAUUAGAUCCGUCUGUAUGGACCUGAUGAGAUCAAGACAGCUUUCAUCACCCCAUUUGGGUGCUUCUGUUAUGUCACCAUGCCAUUCGGCCUCAAGAAUGCCGGAGCCACAUUCAUGAGGAUGAUUCAGAAGUGUUUGCUCACUCAAAUCAGUCGAAAUGUGGAAGCAUACAUGGAUGACAUUGUGGUCAAGUCACGGAAAGGUUCCGGCCUGCUGACUGACCUCGCUGAAACAUUUGCCAACCUCAGGAGGUAUGAUAUCAAGCUUAAUCCAUCCAAGUGCACAUUCGGGGUUCCUGGCGGAAAGUUACUUGGUUUUCUCGUUUCCAAACGAGGAAUCGAUGCAAACCCAGAGAAAGUGGGCACUAUACUCCGAAUGAAACUACCUGUGCGUGUGCAUGAUGUUUAGAAGCUUGCUGGUUGCUUGGCUGCUUUAAGUCGAUUCAUCUCUCGUCUCGGUGAGAAGGCAUUGCCUCUUUACCGACUGAUGAAGAAGUCAGACAAGUUCGAGUGGACUCCUGAAGCUGACGCAGCGUUUGCAGAGUUAAAAACCCUGCUUUCCACCCAGCCGGUGCUUGCUGCCCCGAUCAGCAAAGAGCCUUUGCUGCUUUACAUUGCAGCCACAUGACAAGUCGUCAGUACAGUACUUACGGUUGAGCGAGAAGAAGAAGGGAAAACCUUCAAAGUUCAACGCCCAGUAUACUAUAUUUUUGAAGUCCUGACCCCAUCAAAGCAACGAUACCCUCAUUAUCAGAAGCUUGUAUAUGGGAUUUAUAUGACCAUGAAGAAAGUUGCUCACUACUUCUCUGACCAUACCAUCACAGUCGUCAGCGACACCCCCUUAUCAGAGAUUCUGCACAACAGAGAUGCAACUGGUCGAGUGGCAAAAUGGGCGAUUGAACUCCUUCCCCUUGAUAUCAGAUUUGAGGCAAAGAAAGCUAUCAAGUCCCAAGCAAUAGCAAAUUUCCUUGCCGAGUGGACUGAACAACAGUUACCGACUCAAGUUCACUCGGAGCACUGGACUAUGUUCUUUGAUGGCUCUAAAAUGCUGAAUGGUUCCGGUGCCGGGGUAGUGAUGGUUUCUCCCUGAGGAGAUAAGCUCAGAUACGUACUCCAGAUUCACUUUGACUCCUCCAACAACGAAGCAGAAUACGAAGCACUUUUGUAUGGGUUGCGUAUGGCCAUUUCACUCGGCGUCCGACGCCUCAUGGUCUACGGUGACUCAGAUUUGGUGGUUAACCAAGUGAUGAAGGAGUGGGACGUCAGAAGCCCAGCUAUGACUGGUUACUACAAUGCAGUCAGAAAGCUGGAGAAGAAAUUCGAGGGAUUAGAGCUCCAUCAUGUUCCCCGACUGAAAAACCAAGCAGCUGAUGACUUGGCAAAGAUAGGUUCCAAAAGAGAAGCCAUCCCGAGCGGCGUAUUUUUGGAGCAUGUUCACACGCCGUCAGUUCAAGAAGAUCCUUUCACCGAAGAAGCCCCGCAUCCAAAAAGUGCCACGGAUCCGACUGAAGUUGAGGUCCCAGCCGUGGUUGACUUAAUCAUGGAAGUUCUGGUUAUCACUCCCGACUGGGCAGUGCCUUACAUCGUGUAUAUCCUAAUGAAAGAGCUCCCAGAGAAUAAAGAAGAGGCUCAGCAGAUCGUCCAUCAAUCCAAGGCCUUUACUGUCAUGAGGGGACAAUUGUACAGAGAAAGCGCGACUGGAGUCAGCCAGAAAUGCAUAACACCGGAAGAGGGUCGAAUGAUUCUCAAGGAUAUCCACUCAGGGACCUGUGGCCAUCAUGCGUCCUCUCGGACCAUCGUGGCUAAAGCAUAUCGAGCAGGCUUUUAUUUUACUGGCCCAGAGAAUGAAGAAGAGGCUCGGCAGAUCGUCCGUCGAUCCAAGGCCUUUACUGUCAUGAGGGGACAGUUGUACAGAGAAAGCGCGACUGGAGUCAGCCAAAAAUGCAUAACACCGGAAGAGGGUCGAAUGAUUCUCAAUGAUAUCCACUCGGGGACCUGUGGCCAUCAUGCGUCCUCUCGGACCAUCGUGGCUAAAGCAUACCGAGCAGGCUUUUACUGGCCCAGAGCGAAUGAAAUGGCGAAAGAGAUAGUCGACAAAUGUGAAGGAUGUCAGUUCUACUCCAAUAUGUCACACACGCCCGCCUCAGCCUUGAAGACCAUUCCAAUCGUCUGGCCUUUCGCUGUUUGGGGGUUAGAUAUGGUUGGACCACUGAGAACUGGCAGGAGCGGCUUCACCCAUGUACUGGUGGCAGUCGACAAGUUCACCAAGUGGAUCGAAGCCAAGCCCAUUAAAAAUCUUGAUGCUGGCACUGCCAUCAGCUUCAUCAGAGAAUUGAUAUUCAGAUAUGGAGUUCCGCAUAGCAUCAUCACUGAUAAUGGGUCAAACUUCGAUUCCGAUCAGUUCAAAGCCUUCUGCGCUUCUCAAGGCACUCGAGUCGACUACGCUUCAGUCGCCCACCCCCAGUCGAAUGGACAAGCAGAAAGAGCAAACGGCCUAAUUCUCAAGGGACUAAAACCCCGGUUGAUGCGUGACCUCAAGCACGCAGCAGGCGCGUGGGUCGACGAACUUCCAUUAGUUCUUUGGGGAUUGAGGACUACUCCAAAUCGGUCGACUGGGAGAACUCUGUUCUUUGUGGUCUACGGAGCUGAAGCGGUUCUGCCAAGUGACCUACUUCACAAUGCACCGCAAGUCGAGCUCUACUCUGAAGUCGAAGCAGAACAAGCCCGACAGGACGCAGUCGACCUUCUGGAAGAAGAAAGAGAGAUGGCCAUGAUCCGAUCGGCCAUCUAUCAGCAAGACUUGUGCCGAUUCUACGCCAGAAAUAUGAAGAGCCGAGCCUUCCAGGAAGGAGACUUGGUCCUCCGAGUGGACCAACAGAAGCCGCACAAACUCGCCUCUACCUGGGAAGGCCCCUUCAUUGUUACCAAAGUUCUCCACAACGGAGCAUACCGUCUUUACAACGUCGAUCGCUAAAUUGACGAGCCACGAGCUUGGAAUGCGGAUCUGCUCCGCCCCUUUUAUACUUAAGUAUUCACUCAGAUGAGUUGUAGUAAAAGUACUUCUGUAGUUUGUUUAUCAAAGACAAGAGUUUUAUAAUUUUCCCAGUGAUUGUUGUUACUUUUGUUCACACAAAUCAGUCCCCCAGUGGGUGGCUUAGCUGCGAAUCCGUUUCGCCUAAGUUUGUAAAAAAAAUCCUUACCGGGUGGUGAGCCAGCCUCCCGCUCGGAGGCUUAGCCGCGAAUCCGUUUUGCCUAAGUUUAAACAAAAUCCUACCGAGUGGUAAGCCAGCCUUCCACUCGGAGGCUUAGCCGCGAAUCUGUUUCGCCUAAGUUUAAAACAAAAUCCUACCGAGUGGUAAGCCAGCCUUCCACUCUGAGGCUUAGCUGCAGUCCAAGUACUCGCCUAAGUUUAAACAAAAUCCUGCCGAGUGGUGAGCCAGCCUUCCACUCGGAGGCUUAGCUGCAGUCCAAGUACUCGCCUAAGUUUAAACAAAAUCCUGCCGAGUGGUGAGCCAGCCUCCCACUCGGGGGCUUAGCUGCAACCUAGUGUUCGCCUAAGUAUAAAAUACAACAUGCGCUCCGCAAGGAGGACGAAGCGCAGGUCGACUGCUACCUUCUCCUUCCGAGCUACGCCACAAAUACAACAUGCGCUCCGCAAGGAGGACGAAGCGCAUGUCGACUGCUACCUUCUCCUUCCGAGCUACGCCACAAAUACAAAAUGCGCUCUGCAAGGAGGACGAAGCGCAGGUCGACUGCUACCUUCUCCUUCCGAGCUACGCCACAAAUACAACCUGCGCUCCGCAAGGAGGACGAGGCGCAGGUCGACUCCUGCCUUCUCCUUCCGAGCUACGCCACAAAUACAACGUGCGAUCCGCAAGAAGGACGAAGCGCAUGUCGACUGCUAUCUUCUCCUUCGGAGGUACACCAUGAAAAUCCUACCGAGUGGCGAGCAAACCUCCCACUCGGGGGCUUAGCUGCAGCCCAGUGCUCGCCUAAGUUUUUAAAAAUCCCACCGAGUGGAGAGCAAACCUCCCACUUGGGGGCUUAGCUGCAGCCUAGUGCUCGCCUAAGUUUUUAAAAAUCCUAUCGAGUGGAGAGCAAACCUCCCACUCGGGGGCUUAGCUGCAGCCCAGUGCUCGCCUAAGUUUUUAAAAAUGCUACCGAAUGGANNNNNNNNNNNNNNNNNNNNNNNNNNNNNNNNNNNNNNNNNNNNNNNNNNNNNNNNNNNNNNNNNNNNNNNNNNNNNNNNNNNNNNNNNNNNNNNNNNNNNNNNNNNNNNNNNNNNNNNNNNNNNNNNNNNNNNNNNNNNNNNNNNNNNNNNNNNNNNNNNNNNNNNNNNNNNNNNNNNNNNNNNNNNNNNNNNNNNNNNNNNNNNNNNNNNNNNNNNNNNNNNNNNNNNNNNNNNNNNNNNNNNNNNNNNNNNNNNNNNNNNNNNNNNNNNNNNNNNNNNNNNNNNNNNNNNNNNNNNNNNNNNNNNNNNNNNNNNNNNNNNNNNNNNNNNNNNNNNNNNNNNNNNNNNNNNNNNNNNNNNNNNNNNNNNNNNNNNNNNNNNNNNNNNNNNNNCUCGCCUAAGUUUUUAAAAAUCCUACCGAGUGGAGAGCAAACCUCCCACUAGGGGGCUUAGCUGCAGCCCAGUGCUCGCCUAAGUUUCUAAAAUCCUACCGAGUGGAGAGCAAACCUCCCACUCAGGGGCUUAGCUGCAGCCCAGUGCUCGCCUAAGUUUUUAAAAUCCUACCGAGUGGUGAGCAAACCUCCCACUUGGGGGCUUAGUUGCAGCCCAGUGCUCGCCUAAGUUUUUAAAAAUCCUAUCAAGUGGAGAGGAAACCUCCCACUCGGGGGCUUAGCUGUAGCCCAGCGCUCGCCUAAGCAUGACGAGUGCAAGUCGAUUGCAAUUUGUGCUUUGUCCCUACCUGCAAAAGAGCAUCACAAACACUAGUAUAUAUUCCAAGCAAAGGAUGAUGAUCAUUCGAAGGCAGAAGCAAACAUAUUCAACAGCAAACCUAAGUUCAGAUAACGUCUUACGGAUCCAGAAGUGCUCAGGCACCAAGCCUGUUUGUAACGCCCCAAGACCGGAGCUUCAGAUGCCUUCCAGGGUUUCCGAGAUUCGUUGUGUGAUUUUGUUUUGUUCGUGCAUUCAUCUUUGCAUCAUGUGCAUUGCAUCAUGUCAUCAUGCCAUUUAAUUUUUUAAACUCAGCUAAAUAAAUUGUAUGGAUUUUUCGAUCCAUUUAAAUCGAGGGAUUUCACUUGUGAUUUCUCUUUAUAACAUAUUAAAGCCUCUCAAUAUUAUUAGGGAGCUAUAUUAAAAUAUUCCAUUAUUUGAAAUUGAUCAUAACACACUUGCAAAUAAUUCCCCAUGCCGUUGUUAUCUCACUUCUUGACCUCAAACCUUGCCAAUAUUUCUUUCAUCAUUUUCCGGAGCUCCACCAAAAAUCCGAACAUUUUUGGACCUUCCCAAACCCUCACUUCCAUUCAAAUCAUUUGAAUUUAAAUCAAAUGAAUUUGAAUUUAAAUCUUUCAAUCGGGGCCUUUCUAUUUUUCUUGGAACGAGCAUAUUUUGCUAGUCCGGGAAAAUUAUCUCCAUGCGCAAAUCCUUUCCCUAACCCUCUCUUUCUUUUUCUUCUCUUUAAUUGUUUUCUGCUAAAGAAAAUAUAAGAGAGAGAGGGAGAAGAGUGCCUAGCCGGCCUCUUAGGCCCAGCUCUAACCCAAGCCGGACCAGGCCAGCCCAUCUAAGCCGGCCCAAGGCCCAGCCGCCUCUAACCCUAGCCCAGCCCCCACGCACCCCAUCUCUCCCCUCGUUCCCUGCCAGCGCCGCCACCUUCGUCUCGAUUCCCAGCGCAGCGCCUGAUCCCCAUCUCCCCGAGCGAUUUCUCCCCUCCGCUCAACCCCGCAUCGUGCGAUCCCCUCUCCUGUUCCCCUCGCCGCCUCCUCCCUCCACCGGCGCCAUCCAUGCCCCGUCGCCCCUCCGAUCGCUAUGACCAGGAGCGCCGCGCCCAUUUGCCCUGCUGGCUUUGCUCAACUCCGGCGCCGCCGCAGCCAGAGCCCCGGGCCAUCCUCGUCGCCUUGCUCCUCCGCGACGCCCCUGUCGGCCCCGCGCCCGACCUCCUCCUCGCCGCCUCUAGAGCCGCUCCACCGCCUUGCUCCUCCCUCCUCACGCGUGCCUCGCGCCGGGCCUCUUCUCUCCAUCACUUGCCCUCCUACCGUGCCCACCUCUUGCGGUGGCCUGCGAGGCCAUCAGCGUGGCCCUCUCCGCGUGAAGCCCCCUGCUCCUCCACCAUUAGCGCCCGACGUCUUCGUCCCCCGCGCCUUGUUGAUGCUGUAGGCCAUGAGCUCGCGGAUACCACGCGGACGCCAAGGCCAAGACCAUCCCCGGGCAGGACCUCGUGUACAUCUACACUGCCAAGACCGGACCGACAAGUACCCAGACGUCGCGUGUACCACUAUCGUCGACCUCAACAUCUACGAAAACUGGACCAUCUACCGUCGCCCGAAGACCCGUGUACCAUUACCGACGCCGUGUACGACUACUUCCACUACCGCCGCCGCCGUGUACGACUACUUCCACUACCGUCGCCACGUGAACAACUACUUCCCACGACGACCUGUGAGCGUCUACUUCCAUCUACACCGCAUCGAACCCGAACCGCUCCGAAAACGCACGCUUCGAAGGUAUAAGACCCGAGAUGACCAACCGUGAACGAAUGCUUGAGUGUUGUAUGAGUUGUACCCUAUGUUUGCACCGUGAUCGAAUCGUCCUUGCGAUGCCCCUCUUUUGCCAUGCCACCGUCCCGUGGGAACCCGGUAGUCGGGAGCACCCCACCAUCUCUAGCAUGUUGCGCUCAUCCGCACGCUUCCUUUUGCACCGGUAUCUCCGUGAGCUACCGGAACCGAUAUGUUGCCGUGGCAUCAUUUUCGGAUAUGUUGCCGUGGCACCAUUUCCAUUUCACCGCCGUGGCACAUUUUCGUUAUCGCUGCCGUGGCACCCCUUUUGUUCCGCCAUGGUGACCAAAUGCCUCGUAUCAUGCUCAUGUUAACAUUUUCAUAAAAUUGCAUAAACUUGUAUAUGUCAUCCGCAUCAUGAUAACAACAUUUAAAUGCUUAAAAUUGUGUUUGCUUUAAACUACUAAAUGACAUAUGGGGAUUUUCCGGAAUUGUUGUUUGUUAUUUCCGGCCUCAUUUAAACUUGCCUAAAUAGUUAGUUUAAUUAUGCUUCACCUCUUGCCAUGUUUAACAACAUUUAAUAUUGCUGUGUUCCUAACCGAGAGUUAAACUAAAUAAUUGAUGUGGUGUUCCAUCAAUAUGCAACUCGUUGCAUAUUGAGCUCCACUUAACUUGUAGUGUUGUUUGUUGCACUUUGCCAUGCCAUGCCUCAUUAAACCGGACAUGCAUCAUACUUGAUUGUGCAUCAUGCCAUGAUUAUGCUUGUGUGUUUACCAUGUUGUUUGCUUCUUUCCGGUUUGCUUCUCUCGUUAGCUUCGGUUUGGUUCCGGAGUUGUGAGGAUUCGUUCGACUACGUUCGUUUGUCUUCUUCAUGGACUCGUUCUUCUUCCUAUCGGGAUUUCAGGAAAGAUGACUAUUACCCUCGAUAUCACUUCUAUCUUUGCUUGCUAGUUGCUUCGUUCUAUUGCUAUGCUGCGCUACUGAUCACUUGUUUACCAUGCCUCCCAUAUUGCCAUGCCAGCCUCUAACCUUUUUCGCCCCUCCUAGCAAUCCGUUGUUUGGCUAUGUUACCGCUUUUGCUCAGCCCCUCUUAUAGCAUUGUUAGUUGCAGGUGAAGUUGAAGAUUGCUCCAUGACGGACAGGAUUAUGUUGGGAUAUCACAAUAUCUCUUAUAUUUAAUUAAUGCAUCUAUAUACUUGGUAAAGGGUGGAAGACUCGGCCUUAUGCCUGGUGUUUUGUUCCACUCUUGCCGCCCUAGUUUCCGUCAUAUCGGUAUUAUGAUCCCGGAUUUUGCGUUCCUUACGCGGUUGGGUGAUUUAUGGGACCCCCUUGACAGUUCACUUUGAAUAAAACUCCUCCAGCAAGGCCCAACCUUGGUUUUACCAUUUGCCUACCUAAGCCUUUUUCCCUUGGGUUCUGCAGACUCAAGGGUCAUGUUUAUUUUACCCCCCGGGCCAGUGCUCGUCGUGAGUGUUGGUCCAACCUGUCAACCGCCGGUGGCCACCAGGGGCAACUCUGGGCUGGCCUACCGGAAGUUUGGACAAUCCGGUGUGCCCUGAGAACGAGAUAUGUGCAGCUCCUAUCGGGAUUUGUCGGCACAUCCGGGCGGCUUUGCUGGUCUUGUUUUACCAUUGUCGAAAUGUCUUGCGAACCGGGAUUCUGAGGCUGAUCGGGUCUUCCCGGGAGAAGGUAUAUCCUUCGUUGACCGUGAGAGCUUGUGAUGGGCUAAGUUGGAACACCACUGCAGGGUAUUUUAUCUUUCGAAAGCCGUGCCCGCGGUUAUGAGGCAGAUGGGAAUUUGUUAAUGUCCGGUUGUAGAUAACUUGACACCAGAUCCGAAUUAAAACGCAUCAACCGCGUGUGUAGCCGUGAUGGUCUCUUUUCGGCGGAGUCCGGGAAGUGAACACGGUUUUGGGUUAUGUUUGACGUAAGUAGGAGUUCAGGAUCACUUCUUGAUCAUUGCUAGCUUCACGACCGUUCCAUUUGCUCUCUUCUCUCUCUUAUUUGCGUAUGUUAGCCACCAUAUUUGCUUAGUGCUAGCUGCAACUCCACCUCAUUACCCCUUCCUUUCCCAUAAGCUUAAAUAGUCUUGAUCUCGCGGGUUUUGAGAUUGCCGAGUCCUCGUGACUCACCAGAUACUAUCACAACAGUUGCAGGUGCCGAUGAUACCAGUGCAGGUGAUGCAACCGAGCUCAGAUGGGAGCUCCACGAAGACCUUGGUCGUUGCUAUGUUUCGUUUCUUGUCGAUCAGUAGUGGAGCCCAGUUGGGACGAUCGGGGAUCUAGCAGUUGGGUUAUCUUCUUUUCUUUUGGUUUCGUCCGUAGUCGGACUAUGUGUGUACUCUAAAUGAUGUAUGAUUUAUUAUAUGUUCAUUGUGUGAAGUGGCGAUUGUAAGCCAACUCUUUAUCCCAUUCUUGUUCAUUACAUGGGAUUGUGUGAAGAUGACCCUUCUUGUGACAAAACCACCAUGCGGUUAUGCCUCUAAGUCGUGCUUCGACACGUGGGAGAUAUAGCCGCAUUGUGGGUGUUACACUGUUAAAAUUUAUCGGUUACAAAAACCACUCGGCAUUCCGAGGCAAAUUUAAAGCAUCAAGCAUAUAAGUUUUUUACCCCUCCUAUGGAGGGCUAGAAGGCGCAACGAACUCAUCUAGGUCGAUUCCAUCUGCGAUCCAAGUGGCAGCAGUGAUGAAGGUCUCCAUGAAGGAUCGGAAGUCAUGCUUCUUGGUAUUGGCCACCUUGAGAGUUGCCAGCUUGUCCUCUCGCGCAUCCUUGCAGUGAACACGGACCAGAGGUAGAGCAACGUCGGCACCACACCUGGAAGAAGACUUCUUCCAUUCUUGCAGUCGACUUGGAACUUCGUUCAGUCGAGCCAUCAGAGACUCAAGGUCAUUCUGAAGUGCUUCUCCUGGCCAGAGCGCCGUGUCGAUGCAUGACGUCGCAACCUUCAGCCUUGCAAGAUAGUCGACAACGGCAGCAAUGCGAGACUCGAGUCGGAGCACGUUCAUGGCAGUUUCAUCCUUCACAAGAGAGUUGAUGGGAUCUAGGCUCGUCUCCAGUUGACCAGUCUCCUCCUCAAAGUUCUGGCAGAACUCUGUAGACACAACGCCAAAGUUAAGGCAGCAGUUUGGUGGUGAGGCCAAAAUUAAAAAGCCUGUCAGAUAGAAAGGGUUACCUUCAAGCAUGAGGAAUAGCUUCUUGGCGAUUCCUCCCAGAUAAGCCUCCAGAUCAUUCUUCUUUCCCACCAGUUCGCUAGCUUUGUCACUCAGGACCAUCUUGUCAUUCUUCAGUCGAGUGACCUCCUGGUUGGCCACGUCGAGAGCAGCUUUCAGAUUAGUAUUUUCCUCUUCAAGUUUGCUGAUUGAAGCCAACUUUUCUUCUGCGAGCCUGGUCUUCUCGGAAGCUGCUUUCUACACCUCAGCAAGGUCAAGAUCCUUCUUCUUCAGAGAAUCCCUCAGUUUAUCUGUAAAAUCACAGUAAGAUCAGACUCGGGGAUGGAUAAGAAGCAAAGGUAGUCGUCAAGAUCCUCACCAAACAUACCUUUUGCCUCCUCCUUCGCCUUCGUGAAGUUCUCCUGGACAAGCUUCAGAUCAAGUUCGAGCUAGAUAUGCUUGUUCUCCAAUUCAGUAUAACAAGCUGUAAGCUCGCAAGAUUUCUGCGAAGAACCAAUCGACAGACGUCAAAGAUAGGUCACUUCCGAGUGACUAAGAGAAAAAUCAUAGUAUUUCUAAGACUACAGCCGAAUCUAAAUAUUCACCAGAUCGAGUGAAGACAGUAAUGAGAAAAAAGCUCAAGACAUAAAGACUAUGGUCAACUGCCAGCAGUCGACCAUAGCCUUGGGGACUACACCCAGUGGGUGCACUCAGCGUGCCCCCACCAAUCCAGAAUCUCAAUCAACACACCCAGUGGGCGUACGACAGACACUAAGAUUUUCAGAAAGAAAAGUUUUCAGGUACCAUAUCCUAACAGAACAGGCAGUGACCGACCAACCUGGACAUUGCUCUGAAGGGCUGAACUGGCGUCAAAAGCCGCUUGACUGGCGUCUCGGAUCGCCUUCACUUGAUCCAUCAUGACCCCCGCCUGGCGUAUGGCUUCUUUAGCAGCGCUUGCUUGGUCUUCGGGGACGUGGUGGGUAGAGAAAAGUGAAGGCUGACCAGCACUCGACGAAGAAGGGCGAGCACUCGUCAGCGGCACCGCAAAGGAUACGGUAGGCCGAGUGACGUUGUCCCCCUCCGCAACCAACGUCUCAGGUGCUGAUACGACCUGAGCUGUCUAGCCAGCAGACGCUCUCCUAUUCCUCCUCUGCCUCAGUGGUUCCUCGUCUUCAUCAUCGUCAGGAAGAUCAAUGAUGAUAUUAGAUGGAGCUGCAGAAAAGAGUCAAAGUUAAAAACGAAGAUCCCACCGACUGAAAAUGAAACCUCAAAGGUCAUACCAGGGUUGGAAGUGACGGCAUCCUCCAUUUCUUGAUCUUCAGGUCUGGCCGAGGUAUCAGAAGUAGCAGCACUGCAGUUUCAGAAAUCAGUCGGUCAGCUAACGAAUCGACCAAAAAUAAAUCCAUGAGAAACAAGAGGACACAAGUUAUGUCAUUACCCAAAAAUAAAUCCAUGAGAAACAAGAGGACACAAGUGUAGCCCAUCUCUAUAUCUGUUGUUCAGGGUUCAACAGGUGUAUGUUUGAUAGAUCUUGUAGAGCAUUAUCGUUUGGAAAUUUAGCCAGAAGCCAUAAAGCUAUGCUAAGUAACCAAUUUAUGCAUGUCCAGCCUUAAAAUCUAGUGUUAAAUAUUAUUCAGUAUAAUUUGUAUUGUUGUUUGGUUUAGAUUAGAUGUUUGGCAACUAUCUUUUUGAGUUAAAGCCACCUAUAAUCCUCCCACAAAUUUUUUUAACUGCCCCAAAUUUGAGCAGGAUAGGUGAGCUCUCAUGAUGCUCGAUUUUUUGAUCUGUUUAAUGAUGUUAUAUGGCAUAUGGCAAAUAACUAGUGGAAUAUAGUUUAUUUGCAGUGACGUUCAUUUUUGAUCUAUUUAAGUAUGGAACUUUUGAUCAGCUGUUAAGCAUUUGGUAAACUCUAUGACAUGAUGUACACAACCACAAAUCUUUAUGGCAAUUAGAUUGCAGUAUGGUAUUUGUUUCUUGUAUGAAUGAUUAUAUGUCAUCGUACAUGUAGAUGAUAUGUUCUUAUUUUGACUGGACAUGAGGGGGAGCAAGGUGGCUGGAGAUGGGAAAACGAUGAGGCUUUGUUUGGUAGAAGUGGAAUGGGGAGGUUUGGGGAGGGCUGGUGGUGGCUGUAGGUAGGUGAUGUAUCCUUUCCGCAUCCUCAUGGCCAGCAUCGUUAUAUUCCUAGAUAGAAACAAUACAUCCAGAUCCAAUAUUCUUCUUCUAAUUAUAAUUACAUCUGAAAAAAGCAUACCCCUAGAUAGAUAAAUGGAUGGAUGAAUUUGUGUGUCAUCUUUGAUUUUCUAAGUUGACUGACAUGAAUUCAGAAUUGAAGAGGAGGCCCGGGUAGAAUUAAUGUCAGAUGAGCCAAACUGAAUGUGCUUAUUUCCGAAUAAUGUUCAGUCAGAAAAAACUUGAACCAAAACUGAAUAACCUACGGUCAUAAGGAAAUUCUUUGUUUGGAAACUGAUUGUCUAUCUAGAAUGUUGCAGUUGUGGCACUACAUGAUCUUACUAAUGCUGUCUUUUCUACUCAAUGUGGCUGUAUUUUCUUGGUGGUAUCACGCAGAUUGGUUCUUAUUUAUGUGGUCUAUUUUUUUAUCUAGCUAGCUAGCUAACUUGCUCCAUUUCCAUUGAACUGAAUCUAUGUAAUAGACCUUGCUAACUUGUUCUCCCUCCAUACAUCAAAAAAAAACUUGUUCUCCCUCCAUGGACCUUGCAGCCUCUUCCACAUUCCACCACCAUCAGCCUCCUUAACCCCAACCGAAGAGCUGGCCUUUUCCCCAGUAAGAUGUAACUUUUGUUCAGAGUAAUGAUUUCAGUUCAGUCUGCAUAGUUCAGCUUCAUAGAGAAGAUAAUGAUUUCUGUUUUUUAGCCUACUGCAAUUGUUUAGAGUAAUGUGUGGACAAAAUUUAGGUUUUGUCCCACAUCACAUUGCAUUGUUUGGAGGUUUUGUACAUCAGCUUCCUUUUUGAUCUUCUUAUUUAAACUUGUUGCAGUACGUGUGACACAUGACGCCUAACUACUUAACUAAUUUUCUGCUAAUUCAGCUCACACGGCGCUGUGGUACGCGGAUGUCGCUGCAGAGUAGAGAGAUACCCCUAGAAGUCGCCUUCCUGUCCACCUCUUCAGAAGUGCCACCGCCUCGGACACGACGACAUUAGAACCCAGUUCCUAUCAUAGAGAUAUGGGGUCAGGAAAACCCAUCAGUUCAUUUAUUCCUGCUAGUUAAACUUGGGCUGUUAUAGAGAUAUGCAGGCCCAUCUAAUUACAUGUUACUCUCAAACUGUUUGAGCAAUAUGCAGUGAUGUUAGUCUGUAAUGCAUUGACAAUGGCCGCUACUUCAGGCGUUGCUAGCUGCAUUUCUCUACUGCCCUGUUGUUUUGUAGGUGACGCCCUUAGUUUUGCUACUUUGCAUAUUCUGGGAGCAAUUACAGUGAGGUUAUAUGUGAUUUUUGUUCACUUAAUAUCUACACUGCUCUUCCUUGCAUAAUUUGAUGUCGUUUUACUUGGAAAGAUUGCAUUUUUAUUUGUUUGCACUAUCUUAUCUAAAUAUGUCAGUUCCUGUCAGGGGUUUCAAGGGGUUUUGAGGGGAUUGGGUGGAAAAAGAGAUUCACCCAAUCCCCUGAAAUUCCCCCUCCCCAAACCUCCCCAUUCCACCUCUACCAAACAAAGCCUGAAGGAGAGGCGAAGGGGUAAGUCACUAGCGCACGCAAAAUCGUCGCCACCCAGCCCAAAGUCUAGCUAGCACUACUUGCCCAAUCUCGUGUGUAUAAGAGCAUGUACAACGGCAUCUAAUCGGCUGUCUAUAACGUAUGCCACCUAAGAUUUUUGAUUACGUGGAGGAGAGAGAGCUAGGAGAGAGACAGAGGGUGUCGUUAAUUUUGCACUAAGGAUAUGGUUGAUAGAAGGCACUGGCACAUGGAUGAUGGUGUUACUUGUAGGCUAUGCCCCCUUCAAGUGAGAGAAACCAGAGACCAUCUCUUCUUCAACUGCAAUUUCAGUGUCAGAGUUUGGAAUUAUUUGCAGAUUAAUUGGUCGGCUGGAACUUCAAUGUCUGACCUAGUCAUCCAGGCAAGGAGAAGUUUUGAUAAGCCCUUUUUCAAUGAAGUAGUAUUUAUUGCCUGCUGGAAUAUCUGGAUCAUCAGAAAUGCCAAAGUGUUCAGAGGUGAGAGGGCAAGUUUCAACAAAUGGAGAGGAGCUUUCAGGCAUGACAUUACUGUAAUGCAGCAUAGAAUCAAAUCUGGAUACAAGGAUGAGUUACUCAAGUGGAUUUCUUUCUUGCCGCCUUAAGUUUUAGCCUUUUCUUUAUUUUAUUUUGUUUUUCUCCUUUCCUUUCGGUUACCUCUUGUAAUCAUGUUGUUGUAACUGUUGUCUGGCUUUAAUAAAGUCUUGAUAUGCUGUGGGGGUUUUACCCCACAGUUCACAGUCAAUUUUUUUUUUGCAGACGGUCGAUAUCCCAACAAUCUCGCUACUUACCGAUAGCCUCGUCCCCGUUGUACGCUCAGGCGUCGUUAACUUGCGGUUUGCAUGCAUCAGUCUCCCACGUUCUGGCCAAGAAGUACAACAAAGGAUGGAGGUUCGCAUGCAGCAGCCUGCCCACGAUCGACGUGCUACAGAUAGCAAAAAACAGACUAUUGUAGAUGAUGUUGUUACUGCUAUCUAUAGAUGACGUGUACGAUCAUUACAGACUGCAAGUGUCUAAUGUACAUGCCCUAAUUGCUCUACGGAUAGCCAAACCAAAGCCAGAUAAUUACUCCUAUGGGGUACCUGCCUCCCGGGGGAUUCGCGGGCAAGAGUGCCCUUCGCGCCUUUCAUUUGGCGGUGGCGUGCCAUCGGGGAUCUUCGCGUCGUCCGAUCUGUCCGGGCAGCGUGCCUCAGGGUUCCGUGACGGGUGGACCGGGCGUGAUCGUAGGCCGUCAGCGGGUGGUUUCGUCUGCAUUGGAGUGCGUCCUCUUGGCAUCAGGGGAGUCCGUACCUGCCUGUCGGCGUCUUCGGCCACGGGGCUGGUUCAUGCGCCUCCCUGGAGUUCUUCACAACAUCUGAUCUACCUGGACGUCGAGCACCCGUGCAGCGUGCCUCUGUGUUCACGAUGGUUAGUGUUAAACCUAAAUAAUUUUUGUGGUUAUUAAGGAAUAAUCCCCGCUCCUUUCUAGAUGUACGGUUGCACACUUCCAGCAACCGUCACGUCGGUUCCUGGAAUGGCAUCUCUAUGGACCAUCGUGUCCCUCCGAGGCAACUGUUCCCAUUGUAUAUAAGUGCUCAUUCAUCGUCAAUAAAGUGUGGUUCGAGUCAUUUGUUCCUUUGUCUCUCUCGAUACAAUUCUAUUCAUCACACAUUAUCAGCACGCUCCCGACUGAGCGAUUCCAGCGUGGAGAGCCCUUCCCGGGCGGCGGCGGCCGAGGCCACGGCUCUCAUCCGACCCUCUGCAGCGACUCCCUCCGCCAACGGCGGCGCCCAUAUCGACGGUCUUCAUCGGCACGGUCUUCUAUGACGACAACGCUCUCGGGCGUGGCGGCACCGGAGUGGCCAAGGACAAGGCCAUCCAACCUUCCAGCGCGGGCGGACCAUGAGCGGCCGUGGUGGCUGUAGCGGCGACGCCCUCGGGCGUGGAAAACGGCGGCCCUCACCCCGGCAGAAGAGCUUCCAUGCGGCAACCUCGCCUCGUGAAUGAAGAACAGGGCAUUGGCGUCCAUCUAUCUGGAAAGAUCGAGAGGAAAAUCAAGGGAUCAAGGAAUGAAUCGGAGUCAUACCUUGAUUUCAUUGCUACAAGGUGCUUCUUUCCGAUUUAUUAACGCAUAUACUAAUUGCUAUCUGAAAUUAGUACCUGUAGCCCUCGUCAUUGCAGCGCACGCAUCGGCUGCCCUCAGCCAUGCGACAACACAGAGGCAUCGAGCCCUUGACGCACCAGCGGCCGGCGUCGGCGAAGACGACUAGCGCAGGGCCGCGCCUCACGCCCUCGUCGCCACGCGGUCGUCCGCGCUGCUGGACUCGCGCCCUCCGCGCCGCCGUGGCAACAAGCGGCAACGACCUCCGGCCGGCAAGCUCAUCUCAAGUGGCCGCGACGGCGUUGGUGGUUUGCUACGAAUCAAUCGAUUGGGUUUUAACCACACGAACAGAUAGAGAGAUAGUGAAUCUUAUCCUUUUGUGACACUUCAAUUUAGUCUUCCAACUUUAUUGUAUGUCCGGAUAAGCCCUUGCAUUUCUUCCGUUGGGACCUCUGGCUUGAUGUGUCUUGCGGAUUAGUCCAUAGAUUAUUCUGUACGAUGCAAAUCAGCCUACGGCUUACUGUAAGUUGCAGUUUAGGCUUUCUCUCUACUGCAAAUUUUACUUUGAAAGAUCUCAUAUCUCUUUAUAUCACAUUUACAAUAUGUAAAUGAUGAUUUCAGAUAUACUUUGUGAAAAUGGGACAUGUUCAAUGUAUUUGCUCUCUAGCAAUUCCUAUAACAUGUUAUGCAUUGCCAUUGAGAUUACGUUUUCUCGCACAACAAUAUUGAUUUGCGAUUGAGGAAAAAAUCUCACAAAAUAAUUGAAGUUGAGAUCGAUUUUCUCUCGCAAAAUAUUAGUUCACUUCACUAAAUUAUCUUGCAAUUUGAUACAAGAUCUCAUUUAAUUUGAGAUCUAUACAAUUCAAGUUUUUCACUUGAGCAUCAAGUUUGCAACA
RNAcentral lists this long non-coding RNA (28403 nucleotides) under Triticum aestivum (bread wheat). RNAcentral describes it as "long non-coding RNA (TAES_LNC027224)". Lineage: Eukaryota; Viridiplantae; Streptophyta; Magnoliopsida; Poales; Poaceae. The record is from RNAcentral.